GGGAAAUGGGAAAUUAUAGAAAAAUAGGAAAAUGAUAGGAAUAAAAUGGGAAAAUAUAGGAAUAAAAUGGGAAAAUAUAGGAAUAAAAUGGGAAAUUCUGGGAAAAAAAAUGGGAAAUUAGAGAGAAAAAAGAGAAAUGAGGUUGUGCAUCCUCAUGGCCUCCAAGGGAUUUGACUCUGGGAUUUUGGGAGAAUCCCUGAGUUAAACUGGGAUGUCCAAUUCCCUUUGCACUCCCAAAUUAUCCCUAAAAGUCCCACCAUGCCAGGAGCACGAGCUCCAUCCUCCCUCCCUUGGGCAGAUCCCGGAUUUUUCCCCCAUCCCGAAGGGACCCUGCAGAUCCCAAAUCCCAGCGGGAGGGAAUAACGGGAUCCCCUCCCUGGCUGAGUUCAGGAGCUGCUCCUGACCCUGCAGAAUUCCCGAUUUUCCCCUGGAGUUAAUCCUGCAGCAUUCCCGAUUCUCCCUAAAGCUGCUCCUGAACCUGCAGCAUUCCUGAUUUUCCCUAGAGAGGAUCCUGAUCCUUCAGCAUUCCCGAUUUUCCCGGCUGAGCCCCCCUGACCCGCCGCCCUCCCGGUUUUCCCGGCGGGCCCCCCUGACCCGCAGCAUUCCCGGUUUUCCCGGCUGAGCCCCCCUGACCCGCAGCAUUCCCGGUUUUCCCGGCUGAGCCCCCCUGACCCGCAGCAUUCCCGGUUUUCCCUGGAGCCCCCCCUGACCCGCAGCAUUCCCGGUUUUCCCGGCUGAGCCCCGUGUCCUUUGUGUCCCGAGAUCCCAGCCGGCCGCUGCCCGGUGCCGCCGCCCGGCCGGCCGCUGCCUUCAGCCGGAAUUCCGGGAAUGCCGCGGGAGCAGGAGAGGGCGGCUGGAAUCCCGGGAAUGCCGCGGGAGCAGGAGGAGAAGUUGGCCCAGAAAUGCUGCAAGAAAUGAGGGAAACCAACCGGGUGCUGCUGGAAGUUCGGGAUCUGCUGAGGCAGCAGGUGGGUGAAAAAUUCCCAAUUCCCGAUUUCCCGAGGGCUGGGAAUUCUCUGCUCACUCUGGAAUCAGGGAGAUCCUUCCUGGGCC
RNAcentral lists this long non-coding RNA (1053 nucleotides) under Chloebia gouldiae (Gouldian finch). RNAcentral's name for it is "Erythrura gouldiae (Gouldian finch) lncRNA (ENSEGOG00005017646.1)". Lineage: Eukaryota; Metazoa; Chordata; Aves; Passeriformes; Passeridae. The record is from RNAcentral.